RNAcentral lists this ribosomal RNA (413 nucleotides) under uncultured bacterium. RNAcentral's name for it is "bacterial SSU rRNA". It matches the Rfam family "Bacterial small subunit ribosomal RNA", at positions 28 to 418 of the family's 1533-position model. The record is from RNAcentral.
GAUGAACGCUGGCGGCGUGCCUAACACAUGCAAGUCGAACGAAGCACUUUUUUACGAUCCCUUCGGGGUGACGAAUUUGUGACUGAGUGGCGGACGGGUGAGUAACGCGUGGGAAACCUGCCCUUGUACCGGGGGAUAGCAGUUGGAAACGACUGAUAAUACCGCAUAAGCGCACAGUAUCACAUGAUACAGUGUGAAAAACUCCGGUGGUACAAGAUGGUCCCGCGUCUGAUUAGCUUGUUGGCGGGGCAAACGGCCCACCAAGGCGACGAUCAGUAGCCGACCUGAGAGGGUGACCGGCCACAUUGGGACCUGAGACACGGGCCCAAAACUCCUACGGGAGGCAGCAGUGGGGAAUAUUGCACAAUGGGCAAAGCCUGAUGCAGCAACGCCGCGUGAGCGAUGAAGGCCUU